RNAcentral lists this ribosomal RNA (935 nucleotides) under Agaricus abruptibulbus. RNAcentral describes it as "LSU rRNA". It matches the Rfam family "Eukaryotic large subunit ribosomal RNA", at positions 38 to 959 of the family's 3401-position model. The record is from RNAcentral. Lineage: Eukaryota; Fungi; Basidiomycota; Agaricomycetes; Agaricales; Agaricaceae.
GCAUAUCAAUAAGCGGAGGAAAAGAAACUAACAAGGAUUCCCCUAGUAACUGCGAGUGAAGCGGGAAAAGCUCAAAUUUAAAAUCUGGCGGUCUUUGGUCGUCCGAGUUGUAAUCUAGAGAAGUAAUGCCCGUGCUGGACCGUGUAUAAGUCUCCUGGGAUGGGGCGUCAUAGAGGGUGAGAAUCCCGUCUUUGACACGGACUACCAGUGCAUUGUGGUAUGCUCUCAAAGAGUCGAGUUGUUUGGGAAUGCAGCUCAAAAUGGGUGGUAAAUUCCAUCUAAAGCUAAAUAUUGGCGAGAGACCGAUAGCGAACAAGUACCGUGAGGGAAAGAUGAAAAGAACUUUGGAAAGAGAGUUAAACAGUACGUGAAAUUGCUGAAAGGGAAACGCUUGAAGUCAGUCGCGUUGGCCGGGGAUCAGCCUUGCUUUUGCAUGGUGUACUUUCUGGUUGACGGGUCAGCAUCAAUUUUGACCGCUGGAAAAGGGCCUGGGGAAUGUGGCAGCUUCGGCUGUGUUAUAGCCCCUGGUCACAUACGGCGGUUGGGAUUGAGGAACUCAGCACGCCGCAAGGCCGGGUUUCGACCACGUUCGUGCUUAGGAUGCUGGCAUAAUGGCUUUAAGCGACCCGUCUUGAAACACGGACCAAGGAGUCUAACAUGCCUGCGAGUAUUUGGGUGAAAAACCCGAGUGCGCAAUGAAAGUGAAAGUUGAGAUCCCUGUCGUGGGGGAGCAUCGACGCCCGGACCAGAACUUUUGGGACGGAUCCGCGGUGGAGCAUGUAUGUUGGGACCCGAAAGAUGGUGAACUAUGCCUGAAUAGGGUGAAGCCAGAGGAAACUCUGGUGGAGGCUCGUAGCGAUUCUGACGUGCAAAUCGAUCGUCAAAUUUGGGUAUAGGGGCGAAAGACUAAUCGAACCAUCUAGUAGCUGGUCUGC